UUAGUAGUAGUUAAAUUAACUAUUAAUAUGGUCAUGUAUAAUUGCCUAAGUGUGAACAUCUGAAUUUCCUAUCAAAGACGGUGAUAAUCCGGUAUGGUAGUUUGAUUGGCUAAAUAUUCUUGUUAUUUAAAGAGUCGAGUUGUUUGGGAUUGCAACUCUAAUAAAGGUGAUAGAUUUCAUCUAAAGCUAAAUAUAUUAGGAAAACCGAUAGCAAAGAAGUACUGUGAAGGAAAGGUGAAAAGAACUUUGAAAAGAGAGUUAAAAGUGCUUGAAAUUGUUAAAAGGGAAGCGAAUGAAAAGAAUUACUGCGAUUAAGGUCCUCAGUAUUUCUGAAGGGGAAUUUAAUGAAAGGCUUAGUCGACUUGACCUGUCUGAUUUGAAAACCUUGGACGAUUUAUUUAUAGAUCUUGCAGAUUAAUGUAAAAUAAGGAAAUUAAAAAAAGGCUGAAAAGAGAUAUGUAGUGGGU
Molecule: ribosomal RNA, 467 nt
Filed under: uncultured eukaryote
Lineage: Eukaryota
Description: eukaryotic LSU rRNA
Rfam family: Eukaryotic large subunit ribosomal RNA
Source: RNAcentral